GACGAACGCUGGCGGCGUGCUUAACACAUGCAAGUCGAGCGAGAAAAAGUCUUCGGACUUUUUCUAGCGGCGAACGGGUGAGUAACACGUGGGUAACCUGCCCAUAAGAGGGGAUAACAUCCGGAAACGGGUGCUAAUACCGCAUAGGUUUCUUGGUCGCAUGAUUGAGAAAGGAAAGACGGCCUUUGUGCUGUCGCUUAUGGAUGGACCCGGGCGUAUUAGUUAGUUGGUGAGGUAACGGCUCACCAAGACGAUGAUACGUAGCCGACCUGAGAGGGUGAUCGGCCACAUUGGGACUGAGACACGGCCCAAACUCCUACGGGAGCAGCAGUAGGGAAUCUUGCACAAUGGG
Molecule: ribosomal RNA, 352 nt
Filed under: uncultured bacterium
Lineage: Bacteria
Description: bacterial SSU rRNA
Rfam family: Bacterial small subunit ribosomal RNA
Source: RNAcentral